RNAcentral lists this ribosomal RNA (732 nucleotides) under Pratylenchus crenatus. RNAcentral describes it as "eukaryotic LSU rRNA". It matches the Rfam family "Eukaryotic large subunit ribosomal RNA", at positions 367 to 944 of the family's 3401-position model. Lineage: Eukaryota; Metazoa; Nematoda; Chromadorea; Rhabditida; Pratylenchidae. The record is from RNAcentral.
CAAAGCACUUUGAAGAGAGAGUUUAAGAGGACGUGAAACCGCUGAGGUGGAAACGGAUAGAGCCGGCGUAUCUGGCCUGUAUUCAGCCGCGAAGCUGCUUGGGGCGAGGCGGAGCUUUCCAGACUGGGACUUCGUUACGUCUACUUGUGUGGCCAAGUGGUGCAUUUGCAGGUGGAGUGCGCCGAGGCUCCUGGGGCGGCUUCGUGAGCCUGGUUUUGAGGCCAGCUUGCUGGUACCCGGACUGGAGGAGUGAUGUUCGCCCUGGGUGUUGGGCAAGGCAAUACGGGCUCGGUUGGGUGCCGAGCUGGCGGUCGGAGGCGGUCACAUGUGACACGUGCCGCGCAGUCAGUUCGGUCCUGGCCGAGCUCACAAGCCCGUUCUCGGUGUAAAAGCUGGUCAUCUAUCCGACCCGUCUUGAAACACGGACCAAGGAGUUUAUCGUGUGCGCGAGUCAUUGGGCGUUGAAAACCCAAAGGCGUAAUGAAAGUGAAGAAGGCGGCUUGCCGUCGAUCGUGCGAACCCGGGUCCCUCGGGGCCCGGGCGCAGCAUGGCCCCAUCCCGAUUGCUUGCAAUGGGAUGGAGGAUGAGCGUACGCGACGAGACCCGAAAGAUGGUGAACUAUUCCUGAGCAGGAUGAAGUCAGAGGAAACUCUGAUGAAAGUCCGAAGCGAUUCUGACGUGCAAAUCGAUCGUCUGACUUGGGUAUAGGGGCGAAAGACUAAUCGAACCAUC